Molecule: long non-coding RNA, 513 nt
Filed under: Meleagris gallopavo (turkey)
Lineage: Eukaryota; Metazoa; Chordata; Aves; Galliformes; Phasianidae
Description: lncRNA (ENSMGAG00000020581.1)
Source: RNAcentral
AUGACCGACAGCAUAGAGACUGUCACCUUUAUUUUGUAUCUAGAAAUAUGCAGAAAGCAACAGUACAAAGUUCUCCUGGAUGACCAAGAUGCCUUAGCCGUGACUUGGGCUGUUGACAGCAGAAAAGGCAAGCUGCUCCUUCACUUUUUGGGCUCCAGACUUGAUGAAAGGCAAUCCAAACAAGAGCUGGCUUGCGUGCACGGGUCCUUCACGGUGUGUUGCCAACUUGUGAGGGAGUUCAUUUACCAGUGACAAGCUUUAACCAUGGACACAUCCCGAUGUACGUUGUGCAAGAGACGAGAAAUCUGUGUAAACAGAUGAACACGAUUUUCUGAUUCAUAGCAGUUGCGGAGUUAUCAUGUAAGAGGCAAACGUUUCACAUUUUCCACCAGUUUUCCAUAUGUCUGAUGACAUAAUGGCUUCACCAGAAGCUGCAACGCAUUGGAGAAAGGAUUUAUCACAGCUGCAUUUAUUUUCCUCUACUUCAUGGCUUCAGCAUUCAUGGAGAGAUUG